This 21-nucleotide non-coding RNA is filed under the name Caenorhabditis elegans. The record is from RNAcentral. Lineage: Eukaryota; Metazoa; Nematoda; Chromadorea; Rhabditida; Rhabditidae.
UACUUCGAACAACAAAAAAAU